GUUAAAAUACCAGUUCCCAUAUGAUCACCAAAUUUAAGCAAUGUUGAGCUUGGUAAGUAUCUAGAUGGGUGACUACUUUGGAAUAUUAGGUGCUGUAA
This is a non-coding RNA of Acanthosepion pharaonis, 98 nucleotides long. NCBI's taxonomy places the organism in Eukaryota, Metazoa, Mollusca, Cephalopoda, Sepiida, Sepiidae. The record is from the annotation of a GenBank genome assembly.